GGCUGAUUUUGGAGAACCCAAUAGGUUGGGCCAACCGGCCUGUUCGGGUUGCACAAGGCAGGCCCGUUGGUGGUCACGGGCUUGUUCGUUUAGGCCAACAAGGCCAGUUUCUGGCCUCUCUACAUGGGGCGACCAAGUUGGGCCUACUUGCCGAAGGUCUUCCUCUCUCAGGCCAUGGGUUGUGCCUCCAUGGGUGGUAGUACAUAUAACCCCGGGCUCGCAUAAAUGCAUGGUUCCGUGAGUAUGUCACUCGUGUCUUGCGCGUAUGCCACGUACGCUAGGCAUGCGAGUUGCUUUUGUCACAUGCUCGCAUGCUGUUUCACACGUGUGAGUCCCCUGCAUUUGCGGGUGGACUCCCAUGCUUGUUACCCAUGUGUUAGAGGUAGUUUAUGUAUGUUGCAUUUGUCUUCCACUAUUGCACUGGACUUUGGGCCUUUCUUUGUGCUUCAUUGUUGACUGUGUUGCUUACCUAGUCAUGUACUAUCAAAUUAAAAAUUCCUUGAAGCUUGCAGGCCCGACUUCGAGUGAAUGGGUCUAUGGGAAACUAGGCUUAUCUCCCUAUUCGCCCUAGUUUGUCAUGGGUUUCAGU
Molecule: long non-coding RNA, 589 nt
Filed under: Carica papaya (papaya)
Lineage: Eukaryota; Viridiplantae; Streptophyta; Magnoliopsida; Brassicales; Caricaceae
Description: long non-coding RNA (CPAP_LNC012438)
Source: RNAcentral